CUUUGUUUUAAUUGGCGAACAAUUAAAAAUGGCGUCUGCCGUGAAAAGGUAGGCUACGUGUUUUGACGAACGGGAGAUGUGAUGGGAAAAUGAGGAGUUUUCUCUGUGAUCAGUCGGAUACAGUGAAUAUUUAAUGGAUUCUUUAAGAAGGUCGCAGCCAAUGAACACCUCAGACGGCUGUGGCUCAUGCAGGCCGUAGCGAGUGCCAGGUUGAGAGAUUGAGGCCGAAGUUGACGGUGCCUGUGCUCUUGGUACAAUGUGGAACUGAGGCAAAGAGGAGGCAUGUGACACAACCUAAACCCGGAGAACUCCUGAGUUUAAUCGCUCCACGUGGCUUAAACAAGCAACUCGAGGCGUGCAGGUGAUUAAGGACACAAGAGCUGAUCAAACAUCCAAAUUUGCUCAUAUUUAUGGAGUAGCAAUGACUCUAUCCUUCACUUUCAUUGUCUGAAAACUGGGUGGAGGUUUGUGUAUGAUGCUCACCGUCCCAAAAAAAAUGUAUUUCCCUCUCUGCUUCUCUUUCAUUGUUUCUUUCGUGAUUUCCCUUUCUCCCUCCGGUUGUCUUCCCUAAAUGAAUACUCAUUGAGUGUUACUGUGUCUUGGUCUCCCUCCUCCUGUCCUGGCUGAAUAGAAGACUGAAUUGAGCAAACAGUCAGCCUGUCAGCUCAAUAGGCAGUCUGACCAUGAACUCCGAGUCCUUCCCAGGCACCCAGCAUCAUCAUCAAGAGGGGGAGAAAGAGAGACAUGGGGGGGGGGCAGACAGUCUCAGACUUUGGGGGCCCCCGGUGCCCAUUUUUUGGGGGAGCCUCGUCGUGGUGGUUCCCAAGGCUUGUGCCUGCAUGGAAAGGCAAGAGCAGCUGCUCAGAAGAGGAGAGCCUUGUGUUUAUGGGUGUGUGUGUGUGUGUGUGUGUGUGUGUGUGUGCAGACGGGUGUCUGCCCCUUUGCCCAAACCCCAGCCACCUCGCACGCUCCCAGACGCAAGCUGCUGCAGAUUCUUUGCUCCUUUUUAUCUGAUGUGCUUUGGCUUUGUUUUUACUGUGCAUAAUUUACUGUGCCGUUCCCUCUCAGCCACUCUUCCCCCGGUUUGCCACCUGUUUACUGCGGCGCACUUAGAUUACUGAAAACAAUGGCGUGAUUGUAGACCCAGUGUGACUGCAAUCUUGUAAUUCUGUGCUACCUGCAUUAAGAGUUUUAUCACCCAUGCACAAUUUAAUCCUAAUGAUUCAAAGGUAAUUUUUAAUGUGAUAAAAAGUAAAUAGUUUCAUUGUUGCAGUCAUUUAGCGAUGAGGCAGUUAAUGUGCAAUCACGUUUGUGGGGAAAACUCUUUGUGUUACUGUCCUGCAAGUUUUGCAAGAUUUGCUUACAUUGACAUUCUUUUCUAGUGGUUGCGCUAGUUAUGCACUACUGUUUGGGGUCAGAAUUAUUUUUUUUUUCAAGAUAUGAAUACUUUUAUUUAGCAAGAAUUCAUUACAUUUAUCAAAAGUGACAGGAAGGAUUUUUUUAUAGUAUUACAAAAGAGUUCUAAUUCACUGCUGUUCUUUUGAAUUUUUUUUUCUCAUCAAAGAAUCCUGAACAAUAUGUAACACAAUUACCACAAGAAUAUGCAGUGUCACAACUGUUUCCAACAG
This is a long non-coding RNA of Carassius gibelio (silver crucian carp), 1628 nucleotides long. RefSeq lists it as uncharacterized. The record is from RefSeq and is a predicted model, not a curated record. The transcript has 2 exons. Lineage: Eukaryota; Metazoa; Chordata; Actinopteri; Cypriniformes; Cyprinidae.